AGUGAACGCUGGCGGUGGGCCUAACACAUGCAAGUCGAACGGCCGGACAGUGAGCGCUUGCCCUUACGGGUGGCGAGUGGCGGGUGGGUGAGGCAUACAUCAGCAUCUUCUAUUUCGUGGGUGAUUACGUAGGGCCGCUUACGAUACUGCAGCAUACGUCCUACGGGUGAAAGCAGGGGUGCAUGAGGGCUUGCGUGGUUGAUAGAGCCGAAGUCGGAUUAGCUUGGUGGCAGGGUAAAGGCACACCAAGGCAACGAUACGUAGCUGGCCUGAGAGGAUGAUCGGCCACACUGGAACUGAGACACGGUCCAGACUCCUACGGGAGGCAGCAGUAGGGAAUAUUGCGCAAUGGGCGAAAGCCUGAUCCAGCAAUACCGCGUGAGUGAUGAAGGCCUUCGGAUCGUAAAGCCCUGUUAUUAGGGAAGAAAAACUGUGUAAGAAAAUCCGCCCGUUCUGACGGUACCCAAUGAAAAAGCACCGGCUAACUACGUG
Molecule: ribosomal RNA, 492 nt
Filed under: uncultured bacterium
Lineage: Bacteria
Description: partial 16S ribosomal RNA
Rfam family: Bacterial small subunit ribosomal RNA
Source: RNAcentral